CAUGAUGUGUGCUGCUGAUCCACGACACGGCCGGUACCUUACCGCUUCAGCCAUGUUCCGUGGCAAGAUGAGCACUAAAGAAGUAGACGAGCAGAUGAUAAAUGUACAAAACAAGAAUUCAUCUUACUUUGUCGAGUGGAUACCCAACAACGUGAAGUCUAGCGUGUGUGACAUCCCACCCAAGGGUCUGAAAAUGGCAUCGACUUUCAUCGGUAACUCGACUUCAAUUCAG
RNAcentral lists this unclassified non-coding RNA (232 nucleotides) under Hevea brasiliensis (rubber tree). Lineage: Eukaryota; Viridiplantae; Streptophyta; Magnoliopsida; Malpighiales; Euphorbiaceae. The record is from RNAcentral.